RNAcentral lists this ribosomal RNA (529 nucleotides) under uncultured bacterium. RNAcentral describes it as "bacterial SSU rRNA". It matches the Rfam family "Bacterial small subunit ribosomal RNA", at positions 1 to 527 of the family's 1533-position model. The record is from RNAcentral.
UAGGGUUCGAUCAUGGCUCAGAUUGAACGCUGGCGGUAUGCUUAACACAUGCAAGUCGAACGGAAACGGAACUAGCUUGCUAGUAGACGUCGAGUGGCGGACGGGUGAGUAACGCGUAGGAAUCUGCCUGAUAGUGGGGGAUAGCCCGGAGAAAUUCGGAUUAAUACCGCAUAAUCUAUUCGUAGUAAAGUGGGGGACUUUCGAGCCUCACGCUAUCAGAUGAGCCUGCGUAAGAUUAGCUUGUUGGUAGGGUAAAAGCCUACCAAGGCUACGAUCUUUAGCUGGUCUGAGAGGAUGAUCAGCCACAUCGGGACUGAGACACGGCCCGAACUCCUACGGGAGGCAGCAGUGGGGAAUAUUGGACAAUGGGGGCAACCCUGAUCCAGCAAUACCGCGUGUGUGAAGAAGGCCUGAGGGUUGUAAAGCACUUUCAAUUGUGAAGAAAAGUUAACGGUUAAUAACCGUUGACCUUGACGUUAACUUUAGAAGAAGCACCGGCUAACUCCGUGCCAGCAGCCGCGGUAAUUCA